RNAcentral lists this ribosomal RNA (483 nucleotides) under uncultured bacterium. RNAcentral describes it as "partial 16S ribosomal RNA". It matches the Rfam family "Bacterial small subunit ribosomal RNA", at positions 29 to 507 of the family's 1533-position model. The record is from RNAcentral.
AUUGAACGCUGGCGGCAUGCUUUACACAUGCAAGUCGAACGGCAGCGCGGGCUUCGGCCUGGCGGCGAGUGGCGAACGGGUGAGUAAUGCAUCGGAACGUGCCCAGUAGUGGGGGAUAGCCCGGCGAAAGCCGGAUUAAUACCGCAUACGACCUGAGGGUGAAAGCGGGGGACCGAAAGGCCUCGCGCUAUUGGAGCGGCCGAUGUCGGAUUAGCUAGUUGGUGGGGUAAAGGCUUACCAAGGCGACGAUCCGUAGCUGGUCUGAGAGGACGACCAGCCAAAUGGGAAUGGAGACAGGCCCAAGAUCCCUAGGGGAGGCAGCGGGGGGAAAUUUGGGAAAAGGGGGGAAACCUGAACCAGGCAAGGCGGGGGGGGGAAAAAGGGCCUUCGGUUGGUAAACGGUUUUGUUUGGGAAAAAAAUCCUCGGGGUAAAUACCCGGGGGGAUGACGGUACCGGAAGAAUAAGCACCGGCUAACUACGUG